GGGUGGUUAGCUCAGCCGGGAGAGCGGCAGCCUUACAAGCUGUAGGUCACAGGUUCGAUCCCUGUACCACCCACCA
Molecule: transfer RNA, 76 nt
Filed under: Moraxellaceae bacterium
Lineage: Bacteria; Pseudomonadati; Pseudomonadota; Gammaproteobacteria; Moraxellales; Moraxellaceae
Also listed under: 2 other names
Description: tRNA-Val
Rfam family: tRNA
About the family: Transfer RNA (tRNA) molecules are approximately 80 nucleotides in length. Their secondary structure includes four short double-helical elements and three loops (D, anti-codon, and T loops). Further hydrogen bonds mediate the characteristic L-shaped molecular structure. tRNAs have two regions of fundamental functional importance: the anti-codon, which is responsible for specific mRNA codon recognition, and the 3' end, to which the tRNAs corresponding amino acid is attached (by aminoacyl-tRNA synthetases). tRNAs cope with the degeneracy of the genetic code in two manners: having more than one tRNA (with a specific anti-codon) for a particular amino acid; and 'wobble' base-pairing, i.e. permitting non-standard base-pairing at the 3rd anti-codon position.
Source: RNAcentral